Molecule: transfer RNA, 83 nt
Filed under: Candidatus Woesearchaeota archaeon
Lineage: Archaea; Nanobdellati; Candidatus Woesearchaeota
Description: tRNA-Ser
Rfam family: tRNA
About the family: Transfer RNA (tRNA) molecules are approximately 80 nucleotides in length. Their secondary structure includes four short double-helical elements and three loops (D, anti-codon, and T loops).
Source: RNAcentral
GCCAGCGUCGCAUAGUCCGGUAUUGCGCAAGCCUGGAAAGCUUGUCCCUUCUGGGAUCCCCGGUUCAAAUCCGGGCGCUGGCG